Molecule: long non-coding RNA, 609 nt
Filed under: Nicotiana benthamiana
Lineage: Eukaryota; Viridiplantae; Streptophyta; Magnoliopsida; Solanales; Solanaceae
Description: long non-coding RNA (NBEN_LNC018621)
Source: RNAcentral
UUCUUCCUGAACACCAGUGACCAAGAGCUUGGUUGAAUCCCAUAAGAUCCAAAUUCGACCAUUUAUGGCACUGCUAUAGUUAGCAAGCAUACCCCAGUUAGGUAGUAAAACUCCAGAUAUUUUUGCUGCAUUAUUCUGUUUAACUUUAGUUUCUACUAGACCAACAAGGUCAAAAUUAUUGACUCUAAAGUAUUCUUUAACUUCCUUCUGUUUGAACCUUUUAUUUACACCCCUAAUGUUCCAAAAUAUCCACUUCAUUGGGUAUAACUUGUUCCCCCUUCUUCUAAGGGGUGAUCUGCCCAACUUACUGACCCUAUUUCAAAUCGAUUUGACAUCACAACAGGAGACAAGGGUGGAAAGUUUUUGGUGUUAAAAACUGGGGCUGAAUUAAUAUCAAUACCCUUCUGUUUUCUCACUUCCUCAAAUGUUGUCACAGUGGUGCAUUGUUCUUUCUGCUUUGGCUGCUGGUGCUUGUCAUGAGUUGGAGAUGCAGGUGUACCACUAUCCUCAAAAGUAGCCUCAGUAGUAAACUUAUCCUUCUGAGCUGGCUGCUUAUCCUGACUAGGCUGAAUUGGUCCCUUUGCUCUCCAUUCCUGAAUUACCUUUGGC